GAAACCUGAAGCUCUACAGUCUCCUCUUUAUAUGUUGCCUUUAUGGUCAUGAUCCUCUCAUUCUGCACUGGAUUUAUCUGCAGCAUAGGCUCCCAACAGAAUCCCUGGAACUUUCAAGGUGUUGAUUCUGAGUAGGCUCAAGAAGAACUUUGAUUGUAUUCUUCCUUUGUGACACCAUAUCAAACAUCAACUUCUGCAAGUCCACAUCAUUGGAUACUAAAAUGUAGUUAUUAUCUUCCUUUUGAUACUUGAUCUCAAAACUUCCAGUUGUCAAAUUUAACCUCUUUGUCACUUCUUUCUCAAAAUCCAUUAUCCCUGAAGAGAGAGAGAGUGGAAACUUAAUCAUGUCUUCCUUAAAUGAUGCCUUUAUCAUAAUUGUGCCUUCAUUUUCUGGUGCUGGUGGUGCCUUUAUACUCUCAUUGUGCACUGGAUUUAUCUGCAGCAUAGGGCUACCAACAGAACCCCUGGAACUUUCAAGGUGUUGAUUCUGAGUAGGCUCAAGAAGAACUUUGAUUGUAUUCUUCCUUUGUGACAUCAUAUCAAACAUCAACUUCUGCAAGUCCACAUCAUUGGAUACUAAAAUGCAGUUAUUAUCUUCCUUUUGAUACUUGAU
RNAcentral lists this long non-coding RNA (613 nucleotides) under Coffea arabica (coffee). RNAcentral describes it as "long non-coding RNA (CARA_LNC000031)". Lineage: Eukaryota; Viridiplantae; Streptophyta; Magnoliopsida; Gentianales; Rubiaceae. The record is from RNAcentral.